This 597-nucleotide ribosomal RNA is filed under the name uncultured Actinomycetes bacterium. RNAcentral's name for it is "bacterial SSU rRNA". It matches the Rfam family "Bacterial small subunit ribosomal RNA", at positions 80 to 691 of the family's 1533-position model. Lineage: Bacteria; Bacillati; Actinomycetota; Actinomycetes. The record is from RNAcentral.
UUGCUGGGUGGAUUAGUGGCGAACGGGUGAGUAACACGUGAGUAACCUGCCCUUAACUCUGGGAUAAGCCUGGGAAACUGGGUCUAAUACCGGAUAGGAGCGUCCACCGCAUGGUGGGUGUUGGAAAGAUUUAUCGGUUUUGGAUGGACUCGCGGCCUAUCAGCUUGUUGGUGAGGUAAUGGCUCACCAAGGCGACGACGGGUAGCCGGCCUGAGAGGGUGACCGGCCACACUGGGACUGAGACACGGCCCAGACUCCUACGGGAGGCAGCAGUGGGGAAUAUUGCACAAUGGGCGCAAGCCUGAUGCAGCGACGCCGCGUGAGGGACGACGGCCUUCGGGUUGUAAACCUCUUUCAGUAGGGAAGAAGCGAAAGUGACGGUACCUGCAGAAGAAGCACCGGCUAACUACGUGCCAGCAGCCGCGGUAAUACGUAGGGUGCGAGCGUUAUCCGGAAUUAUUGGGCGUAAAGAGCUCGUAGGCGGUUUGUCGCGUCUGUCGUGAAAGUCCGGGGCUUAACCCCGGAUCUGCGGUGGGUACGGGCAGACUAGAGUGCAGUAGGGGAGACUGGAAUUCCUGGUGUAGCGGUGGAAUGCGC